RNAcentral lists this ribosomal RNA (253 nucleotides) under uncultured bacterium. RNAcentral describes it as "partial 16S ribosomal RNA". It matches the Rfam family "Bacterial small subunit ribosomal RNA", at positions 524 to 776 of the family's 1533-position model. The record is from RNAcentral.
GACGGAGGGUGCAAGCGUUGUUCGGAAUUACUGGGCGUAAAGCGUACGUAGGCGGCGGAUUAAGUCGAAUGUUAAAGCCUGGGGCUCAACCCCAGAGAUGCACUCGAUACUGGUUUGCUAGAGGGUGAUAGAGGAAAGUGGAAUUCCGAGUGUAGCGGUGAAAUGCGUAGAUAUUCGGAGGAACAUCAGUAGCGAAGGCGACUUUCUGGGUCACACCUGACGCUGAGGUACGAAAGCGUGGGGAGCAAACGGG